CGGGACGGGGUGGAGGUAAAUGUCUGGGGAAACAGCCUGAUGGAGGGGGGUAACUACUGGAAACGGUAGCUAAUACCGCAUAACGUCGCAAGACCAAAGAGGGGGGACUUCGGGGCCUCUUGCCAUCGGAUGUGCCCAGAUGGGAUUAGCUAGUAGGUGGGGUAACGGCUCACCUAGGCGACGAUCCCUAGCUGGUCUGAGAGGAUGACCAGCCACACUGGAACUGAGACACGGUCCAG
This 239-nucleotide ribosomal RNA is filed under the name uncultured bacterium. RNAcentral's name for it is "partial 16S ribosomal RNA". It matches the Rfam family "Bacterial small subunit ribosomal RNA", at positions 105 to 334 of the family's 1533-position model. The record is from RNAcentral.